CCUACGGGAGGCAGCAGUGAGGAAUAUUGGACAAUGGGCGCAAGCCUGAUCCAGCCAUGCCGCGUGCAGGAAGAAGCAUCUAUGGUGUGUAAACUGCUUUUGUACAGGAAGAAACACUCUCUCGUGAGGGAGCUUGACGGUACUGUAAGAAUAAGGACCGGCUAACUCCGUGCCAGCAGCCGCGGUAAUACGGAGGGUCCGAGCGUUAUCCGGAAUCAUUGGGUUUAAAGGGUCCGUAGGCGGUUUAAUAAGUCAGUGGUGAAAUCUGGUCGCUCAACGAUCAAACGGCCAUUGAUACUGUUAGACUUGAAUUAUAAGGAAGUAACUAGAAUAUGUAGUGUAGCGGUGAAAUGCUUAGAUAUUACAUGGAAUACCAAUUGCGAAAGGCAGGUUACUACUUAUGGAUUGACGCUGAUGGACGAAAGCGUGGGGAGCGAACAGGAUUAGAUACCCUGGUAGUCCACGCCGUAAACGAUGGAUACUAGCUGUUCGGAGCAAUCUGAGUGGCUAAGCGAAAGUGAUAAGUAUCCACCUGGGGAGUACGUUCGCAAGAAUGAAACCUGAAAGAUGAGNNGNGAGAGCGAGGAGACACGAGGGAGGAG
RNAcentral lists this ribosomal RNA (602 nucleotides) under uncultured bacterium. Its description in RNAcentral is "bacterial SSU rRNA". It matches the Rfam family "Bacterial small subunit ribosomal RNA", at positions 338 to 940 of the family's 1533-position model. The record is from RNAcentral.